This 127-nucleotide ribosomal RNA is filed under the name uncultured bacterium. RNAcentral describes it as "partial 16S ribosomal RNA". The record is from RNAcentral.
CCGAUGCUUAUUCUUCAGGUACACGUCAUUUUGUUCCUCCCUGAAAAAAGAGGUUUACAACCCAUAGGCAGUCAUCCCUCACGCGAGAUUGCUCCGUCAGGCUUUCGCCCAUUGCGGAAAAUUCCCC